UGAGGAAUAUUGAGCAAUGGGCGCAAGCCUGACUCAGCAACGCCGCGUGGAUGAAGAAGGCCUUCGGGUUGUAAAAUCCUUUUCUGUGGGGCGAUGACGACGGUACCACAGGAAUAAGUUCCGGCUAACUACGUG
RNAcentral lists this ribosomal RNA (135 nucleotides) under bacterium enrichment culture DGGE band AuD20. Its description in RNAcentral is "partial 16S ribosomal RNA". It matches the Rfam family "Bacterial small subunit ribosomal RNA", at positions 355 to 507 of the family's 1533-position model. The record is from RNAcentral.